GAUGAAGAACGUGGCGAAAUGCGAUACGUAAUGUGAAUUGCAGAAUUCAGUGAAUCAUCGAAUCUUUGAACGCAUAUUGCGCUCUCUGGUAUUCCGGAGAGCAUGCUUGUUUGAGUAUCAGUAAACACCUCAACUUCCAUAUCUUUUUUGAAAUGGGAGUUGGACUUGAGUGAUCCCAACGCUUUUCCUCACCGAAAAGUGGCGGGUUACUUGAAAUGCAGGUGCAGCUGGACUUUUCUCUGAGCUAUAAGCAUAUCUAUUUAGUCUGCCUAAAAAACAGAUUAUUACCUUUGCUGCAGCUAACAUAAAGGAGAUUAGUUCUUGUGCUGACUGAUGCAGGAUUCACAAAGACGGCUUCGGCCGACUUUGUAAACUCGAUCUCAAAUCAAGUAAGACUACCCGCUGAACUUAAGCAUAUCAAUAAGCGGAGGA
Molecule: unclassified non-coding RNA, 432 nt
Filed under: soil metagenome
Description: partial contains 5.8S ribosomal RNA, internal transcribed spacer 2, and large subunit ribosomal RNA
Rfam family: 5.8S ribosomal RNA (bases 1-120)
Source: RNAcentral